This 253-nucleotide ribosomal RNA is filed under the name uncultured bacterium. RNAcentral's name for it is "partial 16S ribosomal RNA". It matches the Rfam family "Bacterial small subunit ribosomal RNA", at positions 524 to 776 of the family's 1533-position model. The record is from RNAcentral.
UACGUAGGGGGCUAGCGUUGUCCGGAAUCAUUGGGCGUAAAGAGCGCGUAGGCGGCCAGAUAAGUCCGGUGUGAAAGUCAGAGGCUCAACCUUUGAAUGCCGCUGGAAACUGUCUGGCUAGAGUCCGGAAGGGGCGAGUGGAAUUCCUGGUGUAGCGGUGAAAUGCGCAGAUAUCAGGAGGAACACCAAUGGCGAAGGCAGCUCGCUGGAACGGUACUGACGCUGAGGCGCGAAAGCGUGGGGAGCAAACAGG